This 253-nucleotide ribosomal RNA is filed under the name uncultured bacterium. Its description in RNAcentral is "partial 16S ribosomal RNA". It matches the Rfam family "Bacterial small subunit ribosomal RNA", at positions 524 to 776 of the family's 1533-position model. The record is from RNAcentral.
UACGAAGGGGGCUAGCGUUGCUCGGAAUCACUGGGCGUAAAGGGUGCGUAGGCGGGUCUUUAAGUCAGGGGUGAAAUCCUGGAGCUCAACUCCAGAACUGCUUUUGAUACUGAAGAUCUUGAGUUCGGGAGAGGUGAGUGGAACUGCGAGUGUAGAGGUGAAAUUCGUAGAUAUUCGCAAGAACACCAGUGGCGAAGGCGGCUCACUGGCCCGAUACUGACGCUGAGGCACGAAAGCGUGGGGAGCAAACAGG